AAGGUGUCCAGCGCCGCGACCGGCUGGUCGUCCGCCUCGGCCCCCGCCCGCGUCCCCUUUCCCCCGGGGCGCAGCGCUACGGCGGGCGCGGGCCGCCCGGCGCAUUGUUCGCAGCCUUCGCGGCGGUGCGCUGCUGACUUUAUUUGUGCGCUUUGCGUGUGCGUGAGGUUGCACCUUUUGUAGGCUGGCGAGUCUCUGGACGAGGAUGGGACGGGGGACACGGGCCCAGUUGCGGCCCUGCGCGAGCGGGACCUGUCAGCCCUGAGAAUAAAGCCAAGUUGUGAUUUCGCCUCUACAGACCUCUCUACCCGCCCAGCUCUUCCUCGGAUAUUCUCCUAAACCAGAAGCUGCAGAGAAGGAAGGAUUUGGGAUUUGCGGCUACACAGCCAAGGACGCUUUUGUCAUCUUCAAAGGACCCCCUACACCCUACACGCUUGGCCCGCUCUGUUCAUUGCCAACAGAGUGAUGGUUGAAUGCAUUCACAUGGUUCCAAAUUCAAAUAAACAGCAAGAAGUCUCCCUCCCACCCUGUCUGCCACCCACUUGGUUUUCCUUCUCUGGAGGCAACCUGGGUUAGUGGUCAGAAGAUGCAUUUAACUGUUUUCCAGCUGAGGCCUUGUGAGAACUCCUCGGACACCAAUUUAAAUCUUUAUGUCCAGAACUCCUUUCUCCAAUCCAGAGAUGAGGUUCCACCAUUCUUGCCCAGACUGGUUUCGAACUCCUGGACUCAAGCGAUUUGCCUGCCUCGGCCUCAAAAAGUGCUGGGAUUACAUGCAUGAGCCACCACACCCGGACCCUCUCUCUUAAAUAGUGGCCCUUUUGCCUCUCUGCAACACAGGAAAAAUUCUGUUAGCCUGCAUCAGAAGGAGUGGCAUGGAGGCUUUGGAGUUAAGAAGAUUUAAUUCAAAUUAUGUGUCCGGUGCCUGCCAGCAAUGAGACCUUGGUAAGGUUUCUUAACCUCUCUGAGCUGGGACCAUACCUUCUGCGUUGGUUUAAUAUAAAGGUUAAAUGCAUGUAAAUAAAUGACUUCUAAAAUAAAUAACAUUCUAAAAUGUUAGUAACAACUAAAUACAAUAUUUAGAUCUUGUGAGGAUUUGAUUUGAAUAAAUAAGAUUUUUUUAAAAGACA
Molecule: long non-coding RNA, 1127 nt
Organism: Homo sapiens (human)
Lineage: Eukaryota; Metazoa; Chordata; Mammalia; Primates; Hominidae
Gene: TRERF1-DT
Product: TRERF1 divergent transcript
Exons: 5
Source: RefSeq, marked validated